RNAcentral lists this ribosomal RNA (464 nucleotides) under uncultured bacterium. RNAcentral describes it as "partial 16S ribosomal RNA". It matches the Rfam family "Bacterial small subunit ribosomal RNA", at positions 339 to 795 of the family's 1533-position model. The record is from RNAcentral.
CUACGGGGCGCACCAGUGGGGAAUAUUGCACAAUGGGCGCAAGCCUGAUGCAGCCAUGCCGCGUGUAUGAAGAAGGCCUUCGGGUUGUAAAGUACUUUCAGCGGGGAGGAAGGGAGUAAAGUUAAUACCUUUGCUCAUUGACGUUACCCGCAGAAGAAGCACCGGCUAACUCCGUGCCAGCAGCCGCGGUAAUACGGAGGGUGCAAGCGUUAAUCGGAAUUACUGGGCGUAAAGCGCACGCAGGCGGUUUGUUAAGUCAGAUGUGAAAUCCCCGGGCUCAACCUGGGAACUGCAUCUGAUACUGGCAAGCUUGAGUCUCGUAGAGGGGGGUAGAAUUCCAGGUGUAGCGGUGAUAUGUGUAGAGAUCUGGAGGAAUACCGGUGGCGAAGGCGGCCCCCUGGACGAAGACUGACGCUCAGGUGCGAAAGCGUGGGGAGCAAACAGGAUUAGAUACCCGCGUAGUC